AACGAACGCUGGCGGCAUGCCUAACACAUGCAAGUCGAACGAAACCUUCGGGCCUGGUGGCGCACGGGUGCGUAACGCGGGGGGACCUGCCCUUGGAUUCGGAAUAACUCCGCGGAUGGGGUCCGAAUACCGGCGCAUAUCUUCGGACCAAAGGUUUAUCGCCUUUGGAUGGGCCCGCGUUGGCUUAGCUUGUUGGUAGGCUAAAAGCCUACCACGGCGACGAUCCAUAGCUGGUCUGAGAGGCUGAUCAGCGACACUGGGACUGAGACACGGCCCAGACUCCUAGGCGAGGCAGCAGUGGGUGAUAUAGGCCAGCGGGGUGUGUCCUGAUCCAGCACUGCCUGGUGAGUGAUGAAGGCCUUAGGGUUGUAAAGCUCUUUUACCCGGGAUGAUAAUGACGGUACCGGGAGAAUAAGCACCGGCUAACUCCGUG
This 433-nucleotide ribosomal RNA is filed under the name uncultured bacterium. RNAcentral's name for it is "partial 16S ribosomal RNA". It matches the Rfam family "Bacterial small subunit ribosomal RNA", at positions 29 to 507 of the family's 1533-position model. The record is from RNAcentral.